GGAAGGAUCAUUAACACAAAAAUGAUAAAACCCUUUUUUUUAGUUGGGAUAAAGUUUUAAAAAGACUUUUAUCUCUCAACUAAAAAAUUUACCACAAUGGAAAAUGUUAAAGUCUAUUAACAUUAUUAUUAAUGUAAAAUAGUACUUUAUUCAUACAUCUUAUUUUAAAAACCACAAAUCAAUAUAAAAUAAUUAUGAUUAUAUCUUAAUAAAAUAUAAUCUUUAAACACAACUUUUAGCGACGGAUCUCUUGGCUCAUGCAACGAUGAAGAACACAGCGAAAUGUGAUAAGUAAUGUGAAUUGCAGAUGUCUGUGAAUCAUCAAGUCUUUGAACGCAAGUUGCGCCGUCAAAAGCGGCAUACUUGUUAGAGUGAUGGUGAAAAUCAAAACCAAAAAAGAGAAUCUUUAUAUUUUCUAAUAUAAAGGUAUUGAGGAUCUAGUUAUAUUUUUAACUAGUCACUUUUAAAUGUAUGUACUACCUUUUUUUAUUUAAAAAAGUAAAUGUUGUUGGAUGUGCUUUUUUGCAUAAUUUAUUCAACAUUGAAAUAAAUAAAGAUUAUUUGUACAUUCAAUCGGAACAUGUAUCUAUCUAUACAAUAGAUACCAUUCUCUACAUCAUCCUCUAAUCAAGUAAGACUACCCCCUGAACUUAAGCAUAUUAAUAAGGGGAGGAAAAGAAACUAACUAGGAUUCCCUCAGUAAUGGCGAAUGAAGUGGGAAGAGCUCAGGUUUAAAAUCUGGCAGCAUCAGCUGUCCGAAUUGUAGUCUUUUGGAUGGUCAUAGGGGUAGGCAUUGGCUCAAGUCCGUUGGAAUGCGGCGCCUUAGAGGGUGAGAGCCCCGUAGUCAGCCAAAUGAUCUUAUCCCGUAAAUUGAUCGUUCGUAGAGUCGGGUUGUUUGGGAAUGCAGCCUUAACUGCGAGGUAAAUUCCUUGCAAAGCUAAAUACUGGCAUGAGACCGAUAGCGAACAAGUAGAGUGAUCGAAAGAUGAAAAGAACUUUGAAAAGAGGGUUAAAAGUACGUGAAAUCGCUAAAAGGGAAGCGAUUAGGUUCAGUAUGGGUGUAUCUCCGAAUCGUAUAUCGUGUGGGUAUAAGGGGUUACGUAGAGGGCUGGUUAACAUCGGUUCAUACGUGAUUCAUGAAGCUUACGUCGGUGUACUACUUUUGGGAUGCACUAGUCAGCAUCGGUUCGUUUGAGUUGGUGACAGAAAAGUUGGGGAUGGAAGGCCGCCUGCGGGUGGUUGAAUACCCUGAUCAAUGGUCACCUGACGGACUGAGGUGGUCGAUAAAAGUCGACCAGCAAAGGGGGUGCCUCAAGGCAGGGCUCUGACGUUCGCAGUGAUUGACAUGGGUGUAGCACUAGUGCAGUGCUGCGCCCUGGCGGUUACUCCCGGAUGUUAAUCCGCUUACCUCCUCUUGAUGCUGACAAAAUGGGCUUAAUCGACCCGUCUUGAAACACGGACCAAGGAGUUCAGCAUAUGUGCGAGUAUUUGGGUGCGAAAAAACCCAUGUGCGUAAUGAAAGUGAAGGCUGGUUCGGCCAGCUUAGGUGGGAGGACGCCAUGAUGAAUGGCGUCUGCACCAUCGACCGGUCUGGAGAUACUUCGAAAGAUCUGAGUAAGAGCACAUCUGUUGGGACCCGAAAGAUGGUGAACUAUGCCUGCAUAGGGUGAAGCCAGAGGAAACUCUGGUGGAGGCUCGUAGCGAUACUGACGUGCAAAUCGUUCGUCAAAUGUGGGUAUAGGGGCGAAAGACUAAUCGAACCUUCUAGUAGCUGGUUCCCUC
This 1782-nucleotide unclassified non-coding RNA is filed under the name uncultured fungus. RNAcentral's name for it is "sequence contains 18S rRNA gene, ITS1, 5.8S rRNA gene, ITS2, 28S rRNA gene". The stretch from base 618 to 1782 matches the Rfam family "Eukaryotic large subunit ribosomal RNA", at positions 1 to 961 of the family's 3401-position model. The record is from RNAcentral. Lineage: Eukaryota; Fungi.